RNAcentral lists this ribosomal RNA (441 nucleotides) under uncultured bacterium. Its description in RNAcentral is "partial 16S ribosomal RNA". It matches the Rfam family "Bacterial small subunit ribosomal RNA", at positions 338 to 795 of the family's 1533-position model. The record is from RNAcentral.
CCUACGGGUGGCAGCAGUGGGGGAUAUUGCACAAUGGGGGGAACCCUGAUGCAGCGACGCCGCGUGGGUGAAGGAGCGUUUCGGCGCGUAAAGCCCUAUCGGCAGGGAAGAAGGAGGACGGUACCUGACUAAGAAGCCCCGGCUAACUACGUGCCAGCAGCCGCGGUAAUACGUAGGGGGCAAGCGUUAUCCGGAUUUACUGGGCGUAAAGGGUGCGUAGGUGGUUUGGCAAGUUAGUAGCGUAACUCCAAGGCUCAACCUUGGAACUACUACUAAAACUGUUGGACUUGAGUGCAGGAGGGGCAACCGGAAUUCCUAGUGGAGGGGUGGAAUGCGUAGAUAUUAGGAGGAACACCAGUGGCGAAGGCGGGUUGCUAGACUGUAACUGACACUGAGGCACGAAAGCGUGGGGAGCAAACAGGAUUAGAUACCCGUGUAGUC